UACAGAGGUCCCAAGCGUUGUUCGGAUUCACUGGGCGUAAAGGGUGCGUAGGCGGUCGGGUAAGUUUGAUGUGAAAUCUCUGGGCUUAACCCAGAAAUGGCAUUGAAUACUAUUCGGCUAGAGAGUCGGAGGGGGGACUGGAAUACUUGGUGUAGCGGUGGAAUGCGCAGAUAUCAGGAGGAACACCGGUGGCGAAGGCGGGUCUCUGGGCAGUAACUGACGCUGAGGAGCGAAAGCGUGGGGAGCGAACAGG
RNAcentral lists this ribosomal RNA (253 nucleotides) under uncultured bacterium. Its description in RNAcentral is "partial 16S ribosomal RNA". It matches the Rfam family "Bacterial small subunit ribosomal RNA", at positions 524 to 776 of the family's 1533-position model. The record is from RNAcentral.